GUGAACGCUGGCGGUAGGCCUAACCCAUGCAAGUCGAACGGCAGCACAGUAAGAGCUUGCUCUUACGGGUGGCGAGUGGCGGACGGGUGAGGAAUACAUCGGAAUCUACUUUUUCGUGGGGGAUAACGUAGGGAAACUUACGCUAAUACCGCAUACGACCUACGGGUGAAAGCAGGGGAUCUUCGGACCUUGCGCGAUUGAAUGAGCCGAUGUCGGAUUAGCUAGUUGGCGGGGUAAAGGCCCACCAAGGCGACGAUCCGUAGCUGGUCUGAGAGGAUGAUCCGACACACUGGCACUGAGAAGCGGUCGAGAAUACUACGCGAGGCAGCAGUGGGGAAUCUUGCGCAAUGGGGGAAAGCCUGACGCAGCUAUGCUGCGUGAAUGAUGAAGGUGGUAGGGUAGUAAAACUCUUUCACCCGGGACGAUAAUGACGGUACCCGGAGAAGAAGCCCCGGCUAACUUCGUG
RNAcentral lists this ribosomal RNA (466 nucleotides) under uncultured bacterium. RNAcentral's name for it is "partial 16S ribosomal RNA". It matches the Rfam family "Bacterial small subunit ribosomal RNA", at positions 29 to 507 of the family's 1533-position model. The record is from RNAcentral.